UCAGGCCUAACACAUGCAAGUCGAGCGGAAACGAGUUAUCUGAACCUUCGGGGAACGAUAACGGCGUCGAGCGGCGGACGGGAGAGUAACGCCUAGGAAAUUGCCCUGAUGUGGGGGAUAACCAUUGGAAACGAUGGCUAAUACCGCAUGAUGCCUACGGGCCAAAGAGGGGGACCUUCGGGCCUCUCGCGUCAGGAUAUGCCUAGGUGGGAUUAGCUAGUUGGUGAGGUAAGGGCUCACCAAGGCGACGAUCCCUAGCUGGUCUGAGAGGAUGAUCAGCCACACUGGAACUGAGACACGGUCCAGACUCCUGCGGGGGGCAGCAGUGGGGAAUAUUGCACAAUGGGCGCAAGCCUGAUGCAGCCAUGCCGCGUGUGUGAAGGAGGCCUUCGGGUUGUAAAGCACUUUCAGUCGUGAGGAAGGUAGUGUAGUUAAUAGCUGCAUUAUUUGACGUUAGCGACAGAAGAAGCACCGGCUAACUCCGUGCCAGCAGCCGCGGUAAUACGGAGGGUGCGAGCGUUAAUCGGAAUUACUGGGCGUAAAGCGCAUGCAGGUGGUUUGUUAAGUCAGAUGUGAAAGCCCGGGGCUCAACCUCGGAAUAGCAUUUGAAACUGGCAGACUAGAGUACUGUAGAGGGGGGUAGAAUUUCA
RNAcentral lists this ribosomal RNA (650 nucleotides) under uncultured bacterium. RNAcentral describes it as "bacterial SSU rRNA". It matches the Rfam family "Bacterial small subunit ribosomal RNA", at positions 42 to 671 of the family's 1533-position model. The record is from RNAcentral.